GUGGGGAAUUUUGGACAAUGGGCGCAAGCCUGAUCCAGCAAUGCCGCGUGCAGGAAGAAGGCCUUCGGGUUGUAAACUGCUUUUGUACGGAACGAAACGGUCCGGGUUAAUACCCUGGGCUAAUGACGGUACCGUAAGAAUAAGCACCGGCUAACUACGUGCCAGCAGCCGCGGUAAUACGUAGGGUGCAAGCGUUAAUCGGAAUUACUGGGCGUAAAGCGUGCGCAGGCGGUUUUGUAAGACAGGCGUGAAAUCCCCGGGCUCAACCUGGGAAUUGCGCUUGUGACUACAAGGCUGGAGGGCGGCAGAGGGGGAUGGAAUUCCGCGUGUAGCAGUGAAAUGCGUAGAUAUGCGGAGGAACACCGAUGGCGAAGGCAAUCCCCUGGGCCUGCACUGACGCUCAUGCACGAAAGCGUGGGGAGCAAACAGGAUUAGAAACCCGUGUAGUCC
RNAcentral lists this ribosomal RNA (450 nucleotides) under uncultured bacterium. RNAcentral describes it as "partial 16S ribosomal RNA". It matches the Rfam family "Bacterial small subunit ribosomal RNA", at positions 354 to 796 of the family's 1533-position model. The record is from RNAcentral.